This 510-nucleotide ribosomal RNA is filed under the name uncultured bacterium. RNAcentral's name for it is "bacterial SSU rRNA". It matches the Rfam family "Bacterial small subunit ribosomal RNA", at positions 29 to 512 of the family's 1533-position model. The record is from RNAcentral.
AGCGAACGCUGGCGGCGUGGAUAAGACAUGCAAGUCGAACGGGAUUACUUCGAGUAGCAAUACCCGAAGUAAUUUAGUGGCGAACGGGUGCGUAACACGUGGGGAAUCUGCCGAGAAGUGGGGGAUAGCUCGUCGAAAGGCGAAUUAAUACCGCAUAUGAUCAGGGAAGACAUCUUUCCAACAUCAAAGCCGGGGCAACCUGGCGCUUCUUGAUGACCCCGCCGGCCUAUCAGCUAGUUGGUGAGGUAACGGCCCACCAAGGCGAUGACGGGUAGCUGGUCUGAGAGGACGACCAGUUACACUGGAACUGAGACACGGUCCAGACACCUACGGGUGGCAGCAGUCGAGGAUUUUUCUCAAUGGGGGCAACCCUGAAGGAGCGACGCCGCGUGGAGGAUGAAGGCUUUCGGGUUGUAAACUACCUGUCAUUUGAGAAACAAGUGCCAACAAAGUAACUACUGUUGGCUUGAUAGUAUCAGAAGAGGAAGGGACGGCUAACUCUGUGCCAGC